Molecule: ribosomal RNA, 468 nt
Filed under: uncultured bacterium
Lineage: Bacteria
Description: partial 16S ribosomal RNA
Rfam family: Bacterial small subunit ribosomal RNA
Source: RNAcentral
GACGAACGCUGGCGGCGUGCUUAACACAUGCAAGUCGAACGGAAAGGCCCUGCUUUUGUGGGGUGCUCGAGUGGCGAACGGGUGAGUAACACGUGAGUAACCUGCCCUUGACUUUGGGAUAACUUCAGGAAACUGGGGCUAAUACCGGAUAGGAGCUCCUGCUGCAUGGUGGGGGUUGGAAAGUUUCGGCGGUUGGGGAUGGACUCGCGGGUUAUCAGCUUGUUUGGGGGGUAGUGGCUUACCAAGGCUUUGACGGGUAGCCGGCCUGAGAGGGUGACCGGCCACAUGGGGACUGAGAGACGCAGCAGUCUCCAACGGGAGGCAGCAGUGGGGAGUAUGGCACAAUGGGCGGACGCCUGAUGUGGCAGCGCCGCGUGCGGGAUGACGGCCUUCGGGUUGUAAACAGCUUUCGACUGUGACGAGGCGUGAGUGACGGUAAUGGAUAAAGAAGCACCGGCUAACUACGUG